GCAGGUAUAGUUCACCGGUAGAACGGCAGCUUCCCAAGCUGCAUAAGCGGGUUCGACUCCCGUUACCUGCUCCA
This 74-nucleotide transfer RNA is filed under the name Clostridiales bacterium. RNAcentral's name for it is "tRNA-Gly". It matches the Rfam family "tRNA". From Rfam's summary of the family: Transfer RNA (tRNA) molecules are approximately 80 nucleotides in length. Their secondary structure includes four short double-helical elements and three loops (D, anti-codon, and T loops). RNAcentral also lists the same sequence under 8 other names. The record is from RNAcentral. Lineage: Bacteria; Bacillati; Bacillota; Clostridia; Eubacteriales.